Molecule: long non-coding RNA, 2282 nt
Organism: Lagopus leucura (white-tailed ptarmigan)
Lineage: Eukaryota; Metazoa; Chordata; Aves; Galliformes; Phasianidae
Exons: 4
Source: RefSeq, a predicted model, not a curated record
AUCCUUCCCUUGCGGAGUUUCUCCUGUGAGCCUAGAUCUUCAGAGACAGGAAGUAAAAAAUUUGCUCUUGGCUUUUAGUACCAGCAAAGAAGAAUCCUUUCCACUGUGGCUCAGAACAAGCUGGUCAGACAGCACAAAGCUCUUUUGGAUGAGAAACUUCUGGAUCUUUCUGAUUCCUGCCUGUUAGAAUUGAUAACUUGAAUUUCCAGUAGAUGAAUUCCUGGCCACUUCAGCAAGGGGCUGGAAGACACAGUCUGUAACAGAGUUCUGUUCCUCAAUGCUGGAAUGUGAAAACUGCGAUAAGAAGCCAUCGUCUGUCUUCACUUUUGUGUAGGCUGAGCAUUUACUGCAAAAGACUGCAGUGGCUUUUCCAAGUCUUGCUUCUUUCAAAAUGUCUAUCUGCACCAACCCCUACACACAUUGGCAGUUCCAUUGCUCAGGUCCUGCUGACCUGCAGGCAUAGAGUUCAGUCCUCAGCCAGCACAACAGUCAGGCACUGAUGUUCCCAAUGCCACUCUUCUGCUGGGAAGAAAACUGAGCUUGGUGGAAAAACAACAUGCCCAGAAAAGGAACCUGCCCUUUCUCCUAUUCCGAAAACAAGAAAGCUGUGGAUUUGUUUCAUCAGCAUAACCUAAAAACAGCUGACAUUGUGUCUUUGAAUACCAAGGCCAAGGGGCAGAGGAUUCUAUGCAAAGAAGGAACACGCUAGCAGAGGAUGCUACAACUUGCAUUUUCUUACUAUCAGGUUGCCGUCUCCCAAACAAAAUGUCUUUCUAGCAUUUAAAAAGCUAAAGACUGUAAUAUGAAAGGUUACAAAGCAGUAAAGAGAAGUGACAGAAAAACCCCUCUGACAAUCCUGCAUACAACAUUCUGGCUAACUGAUUAGGUGAUGAAUCCAGUCUGAUGUACUCAAACUUAUGGACUUCUGUUAACUCCUAGGGGACAGAAGCAUUUCAGCUUUCUUUAGCAAUUCGUCUAAAACGUGAGCAGGAAAUUCAGCUCCAGCCUGGAAUGCAAAAGGCAAAUUUCCUUUGAAGCCAAGUCUCCUCUCCAAAUGCAGCCCUGAGAACUACUUUUUUGCAUUUUUGCGGCCUAUUGCAUCACAUAUUACUUACUGCUUUGAAAGCAUGUUAAUAUUUCAGAGACACGCUCGAGUGUAUUUGCCUAUGUAUCAGUGAUAGACCACUUAAAGAUCUUUUUCUUUUUUUAAAUCUCAUUGUUCAAGUUCCUUCUACCUUGAUUUUAUCACUUGUUGAUUUUUUUGUUUUUGUGUCAUAGAUAUAAACGCAGUUGUCGUUGGUCAAUCUUUACUUUGGGAUGCACACAAUGAAAAAGUAAGAAUUUUUUUCCCAAAAGCACUGAUCCAAUAAGAAUAAAGCAUCUUCAUCAUUGUUCAUCUGAGGAGGUUAUGCCAGGAAAGACAGUUCUAGUUUGCUGAGAAGCUCCCUUCAGCAUAAGCAAAUGAAGAAACACAAAUUGGGCCCCAUUCUAUCUUCAGGCCUUUUGUGCCUUAUGCCUGCCUGACUUGUAUCCAAAUAUUUAUUUUCACUGUGCUGCUGGUCAGGGUGUCUGCUGUUCCUAUCAGUUAUGAAGACUUGCAUGCCUGCGCAGCAUUACUCUGAGAAUGAACAAGGCAUUUGAAUAAACAAUAUUAAAACAUGGAUUUUCAAUCCUCUACAAAGGCAUCUGUAGUAAUCAUGCACACAAUUAAGUGAGCCAUAAAAUAAGAUUACUAUUGGAUAUCAAUGCCGCUUUUUAAAGUGUAUCUGUCCCCAAAAGGGGAAAAUAUACCUAUUUGAUCUCUUAUGAUAUUUUCAUUUUACUUUGCUGAGCAGCAUUGGUGGAACUCAUGCAUGUGAUUAAAAUAAACUUUACUGACAAAGUAUUUAAUAUAAAAGCAGUGUUUUUAAAAUAUAUAGCCUUCUACCAUAACAAGCAGAGCAAAAGAACUGUUCUUAAUGUUUGAUUUGGAGAUUCUGAAUUCAUGAAUGUAUGAAAAGAGGACACAAGCCCCUCACAGACUAAUCGGAGCUAGAGGUCAUGCCAUAAGUUAUUGAGAAGAGUUUUCUAGAGGUGUAAUAUGGUUUUGAAUUUGACCUAUGACUUCUGAGUUGUUACCCAUGACCCCAAAUAAUCCAACUUCAGCUUCUUGAAGGCUAUUAGGAGUUGGAGGUCAUGCCAUAUGUUUCCACAUUUACAAGGUAAAGUGUUAGGGCAAGUAACAGACCACUCAAAAAAUCUGUAGAAAAUAACCUGGUGAACAAAGCAUUGCUUGAUGCUUC